UGGGGAAUAUUGCGCAAUGGGCGGAAGCCUGACGCAGCGACGCCGCGUGGGGGAUGAAGGCCUUCGGGUUGUAAACCCCUUUUACCACUCACGAAGGCACCUGGUUUUCUGGGGGUUGACGGUAGGUGGUGAAUAAGGACCGGCUAACUACGUGCCAGCAGCCGCGGUAAUACGUAGGGUCCGAGCGUUGUCCGGAAUUAUUGGGCGUAAAGGGCUCGUAGGCGGUGUGUCACGUCGAAAGUGAAAAUCCGGAGCUUAACUCCGGACCUGCUUUCGAUACGGGCACACUAGAGGUAGGCAGGGGAGACUGGAAUUCCUGGUGUAGCGGUGAAAUGCGCAGAUAUCAGGAGGAACACCGGUGGCGAAGGCGGGUCUCUGGGCCUUACCUGACGCUGAGGAGCGAAAGCGUGGGGAGCGAACAGGAUUAGAUACC
This 433-nucleotide ribosomal RNA is filed under the name uncultured bacterium. RNAcentral's name for it is "bacterial SSU rRNA". It matches the Rfam family "Bacterial small subunit ribosomal RNA", at positions 355 to 786 of the family's 1533-position model. The record is from RNAcentral.